RNAcentral lists this ribosomal RNA (455 nucleotides) under uncultured Burkholderia sp. Its description in RNAcentral is "bacterial SSU rRNA". It matches the Rfam family "Bacterial small subunit ribosomal RNA", at positions 461 to 916 of the family's 1533-position model. Lineage: Bacteria; Pseudomonadati; Pseudomonadota; Betaproteobacteria; Burkholderiales; Burkholderiaceae. The record is from RNAcentral.
AGUGCCGAAGGAUUGUCCCGGAAGAUUAAGCGCCGGCUAACUACGUGCCCGCAGCCGCGGUAAUACGUAUGGUGCAAGCGUUAAUCGGAAUUACUGGGCGUAAAGCGUGCGCAGGCGGUCCGCUAAGACAGAUGUGAAAUCCCCGGGCUUAACCUGGGAACUGCAUUUGUGACUGGCGGGCUAGAGUAUGGCAGAGGGGGGUAGAAUUCCACGUGUAGCAGUGAAAUGCGUAAAGAUGUGGAGGAAUACCGAUGGCGAAGGCAGCCCCCUGGGCCAAUACUGACGCUCAUGCACGAAAGCGUGGGGAGCAAACAGGAUUAGAUACCCUGGUAGUCCACGCCCUAAACGAUGUCAACUAGUUGUCGGGUCUUCAUUGACUUGGUAACGUAGCUAACGCGUGAAGUUGACCGCCUGGGGAGUACGGUCGCAAGAUUAAAACUCAAAGGAAUUGACGG